GUGGACAGCGUAGCCUGUUGAUAGGUUAGUUAGAAAACACCUCCUACAUUUCAUUGUGUAUUAAAGGACAUGCAAACUGAAGGGAAACAUUUCUGGAGAACUUUGUUUAAAAAUCCAUACGACCGACUGAACACAGAAGACUUUCUUCUUCUUUUGACUCCUGUUUUUCAACAGAUUUUAACCUGAUUCAGCUCCAUUUUUCAGGGCUGUAAGCUGAACUGCUGUGGGUGAACCAGCCAACUAACCAGUAGGGACUUGAACCACUGCAGGUGAACCAAACAACCACUCCUCAGUCACACAGAAAAAUCUGGAAAAAUGAAGAUCCUCUUUGCCUGUUUGCUGCUGGCGCUGCUCGUUGCCACUGGGUUCGCAAAACCAAAAGCCUACA
Molecule: long non-coding RNA, 388 nt
Organism: Melanotaenia boesemani (Boeseman's rainbowfish)
Lineage: Eukaryota; Metazoa; Chordata; Actinopteri; Atheriniformes; Melanotaeniidae
Exons: 4
Source: RefSeq, a predicted model, not a curated record